GGCCUGGGCCCGGAGUGGGUGGGGGUGGGGGGGUGGGGAGGAGAGGGGAGUGGGGAGAGGGGAGGUGUGUGAAGGGAGGGGGGUCCGGGGGGCGGGUCCCUGUGCCGCUGACGUCCCGAGCAGUGCUGGGAAGUAUAGGCUGUGUUGUCACGCCGGUGUCAGUCUGAUGAAGAUUGGCAUCAGGUGAAGUCUGGAGCAGGACUCUAAGGCUUUCUGUCCUCCAUGCCGCUCGCCAGAAAAGGGGCUGUGAACUGUAAGUAACUUUGAUUGGCGUUUUCCACAUUGACUCAAUAAGGUUAUGGGUUAAAGACCAGAACCCUGAGCCUGAUCUUUAACAGCUGUGCAUUGUGCGAGCGUCACCCUCAACACCGAGCAAGGCCGA
This 382-nucleotide long non-coding RNA is filed under the name Dasypus novemcinctus (nine-banded armadillo). RNAcentral's name for it is "lncRNA (ENSDNOG00000051407.1)". The record is from RNAcentral. Lineage: Eukaryota; Metazoa; Chordata; Mammalia; Cingulata; Dasypodidae.